This 513-nucleotide ribosomal RNA is filed under the name uncultured bacterium. RNAcentral describes it as "partial 16S ribosomal RNA". It matches the Rfam family "Bacterial small subunit ribosomal RNA", at positions 29 to 523 of the family's 1533-position model. The record is from RNAcentral.
AACGAACGCUGGCGGCGUGCCUAACACAUGCAAGUCGAGCGCGAAUGGAGCAAUCCUAGUAGAGCGGCGCACGGGUGCGUAACACGUGGGUAAUCUGCCCUGAAGCCCGGGAUAACCUGCCGAAAGGCAAGCUAAUACCGGAUAAGCCUACGGUCCCCUCGGGGACUGAAGGAAAAGGUGGCCUCUGCAUGCAAGCUAUCACUUCAGGAUGAGCCCGCGGCCCAUCAGCUCGUUGGCGGGGUAACGGCCCACCAAGGCAACGACGGGUAGCUGGGCUGAGAGGACGAGCAGCCACACUGGAACUGAGACACGGUCCAGACUCCUACGGGAGGCAGCAGUGGGGAAUUUUGCGCAAUGGGCGAAAGCCUGACGCAGCAACGCCGCGUGUGUGAUGAAGGUCUUCGGAUUGUAAAGCACUUUCGACCGGGACGAAAACCUGCUGGCCAAUAUCCAGCAGCUUGACGGUACCGGGAGAAGAAGCACCGGCUAACUCUGUGCCAGCCGCCGCCGUAA